UAACACAAAUAGGGCUAAAACACACUCCCCCACACUUGCCAUGCUGUGGGAGACAAGAAAGAGAGAAAGCUGCGGCCCUUUGGGGAGCCCAGACCUAGACACUCCCUGAGCCAGGACUGUGACCAUGCUUUUUGGGGCUCUGCAGUUUGUGGCAUCUCCAAGCUUCUGGGCACCACUGCAUUCCCCUCAUCCAGACACAGCUGCCCACAGUGGAAGCCACUUGCGGUGCAGCUGAUCCAGUCACAGGCUUGCAUGGAGCUGGUGCCUGGAGCUGCCUGCUCUGCCACAGCAGCCGGCAUGCUUUGUUGUGCGCAGUGGCCAGACCCCUGUGCUCACUUGCCCACACACCCCUCGCCGCUUCAUGCCUGGCACACAUGCAGGUGUGGGAUCCAGGCUGGUAGUGCAAGUUGAGUGUAGCCUGCCAAGCUAAGAGGGCAGAAUGAGCCCAGUGGGCCCAAGCAAGGCUUGGGCAAAGGCGCCAGAAAAGAUAUCUCACAUUCAUUUAUCUCAGGUUUCAAAGUGUCUUCAAUGCUAAAGUAAAUGUAUUAACAUUUGGAAAAUACAAGACAAUUUUUUUGUUUGUU
This 584-nucleotide long non-coding RNA is filed under the name Pan troglodytes (chimpanzee). Its description in RNAcentral is "long non-coding RNA NONPTRT010490". Lineage: Eukaryota; Metazoa; Chordata; Mammalia; Primates; Hominidae. The record is from RNAcentral.